This 253-nucleotide ribosomal RNA is filed under the name uncultured bacterium. RNAcentral describes it as "partial 16S ribosomal RNA". It matches the Rfam family "Bacterial small subunit ribosomal RNA", at positions 524 to 776 of the family's 1533-position model. The record is from RNAcentral.
UACGUAGGGUGCAAGCGUUAAUCGGAAUUACUGGGCGUAAAGCGUGCGCAGGCGGUUAUGUAAGACAGGUGUGAAAUCCCCGGGCUUAACCUGGGAACUGCAUUUGUGACUGCAUAGCUAGAGUACGGUAGAGGGGGAUGGAAUUCCGCGUGUAGCAGUGAAAUGCGUAGAUAUCAGGAGGAACACCGAUGGCGAAGGCAGGUCUCUGGGCUGACACUGACGCUCAUGCACGAAAGCGUGGGGAGCAAACAGG